Lathyrus oleraceus (garden pea) is the source of this 1174-nucleotide long non-coding RNA. RefSeq lists it as uncharacterized. The record is from RefSeq and is a predicted model, not a curated record. The transcript is spliced from 3 exons. Lineage: Eukaryota; Viridiplantae; Streptophyta; Magnoliopsida; Fabales; Fabaceae.
AUUUGGACUAAAAUUCUUUUAAUAAGUUGAAUCUUGAUUUAACCAAAACCCUAACGCAACAAAAAUCACCAGCUUAGUCGAAUAAAAAAAUGCAGCGGUGACGCUUCGCUGUUGUUGUAUCACAAAAAAGAAGGUGACGCCGCAGCGCCGAUUCAACGCAACCGGAGUUGGUCGUCGGCGGCCAGAAACAUUUUUAAAUUAUCCAUAGCUGGAACACUCGAGCUAAGAACAUGGCAAAUCAACCAAAUAAUGAAAACCAGCCAGCACUAAGUUCUGCCGCACUUAUCCAGAAAACUGAUGAGGAUCAAGUAGUCCACGGCCCUUCAGCUUCGGGCUUUAUAGGUUCAUUGGAACAACGGUAUCAAAAAAUCAAAGAGCAUGCGGAAGCUUAUCCUUAUGUAUGGGCUUCUUAUAUUGUUGUAUAUGGUGGCUUUGGUCUCUGGACUACCUAUAGAUGGAGAAAGCUUCGCAAGACAGAAGACAGUGUACGCAAACUUCAACAAAGACUACGUGAGCUCAUUGAGGCUGAACAACCUGCUAGUUCGGCCAGAGUGGUUGAAAAGGGUUCCACAUCUACUGAGAAGCCUUCCAAGUAGAGCCUACAGAAUUCUAAUAUUCCUUACCAGUUACAAAAGUCAGAAUUGUUACUUCCAGGGGUACAAUGGAGUGGAAUGUGAUUGAAUAGUAAAAGAUACAAUUGUUCAGAUUGCUGAAAAUAGGAUAGAAUGGAAUCAACACUGCAUUCUCUCAUUCCAUGGUCUAUGGUACAGGAGAUGAGUAAUGUUCGACCAAAUAUUUCAGAUCGUCGAAGAUGAAAGAAACUUUGGUCUCCAGUUAACAACUGCAAGCAUACUUUGAACUUUAGCAAUUUUGCAUAAUGAGCAUGAGAUGUCAGUUCAUUCAAUGUGAUAUUAGAACCUAUAUGAUAAAAACAAGAUUGAGUAUGCCUGUUCUGUGUAUUAUCCACCAAUCAAGCCCUGAAUAGGCUCUUGUAUGAGGAGACAUGUUAUGUAUAAAACCAUUCAUUGUUCUCACCAAACCUUGUGAGAUUUUAAGUUCAUAGCAGAUUUUUUUUACCGCAUAAACUUGCUAAUGUACCCUUUCAUUCCAUGAAUCCUGAUACAAAAUAAAUGUUGGCUUCAGUUGUUCACCGCAAGAACACUGAUCUUUUGCA